Long non-coding RNA from Chinchilla lanigera (long-tailed chinchilla), 1135 nucleotides. Lineage: Eukaryota; Metazoa; Chordata; Mammalia; Rodentia; Chinchillidae. The record is from Ensembl.
CCGUGUGAAAUACGGAAAGAUACGAGAAACUACCCACCCGAAUUUAUCAGAGGAGUGCGAGGACGGCUUCACAGCAGCAAGUCUGGUUCCAGGCAGGGGCCUGAGCAACCACGACAGGGCGAUUGUCAGGUACACAGGUCUCUCUCUCCCCGCUAACGCUGGAGAACGGCUGCCCGCCUGGCAUGGUGGCCGUUCCCAGGAGGUCACCUGGAGAGCGAGUUCCUUUGUUUUGCCUUCACCACCUCUAGGGUGUGACCCCUGCAGUCGGCUCCAAGAUGAUUCCAACCACUGCUAUGCAUCAGUUCUCAAACAGGAGCUGCAAGAGAGACUGGAACGCACAGAGGGGCAGCCGAUGGUGAGGAGCAGCACACAGCAGAUCCGCCCCAUGAAUGUCAGCUUGGCCAGAGUUUACAGCGUGGGAGGCUGCGUGGGGGCUUAUUCUGGACAGCCGUGUGCUGCGCUCACAGCCAGGGCUUCCAAGGCUGAGAGAGAACGAAUUUCCACCUAAUUACUACCUUGUUUCAGAGCUUGGGUCUCCUUGGAACAUGGGCUGCUCUCCCAGAUGUGCAGGUGGCUCCCACACGCCAGCGGCAGACACUGAUCCCCCAGCUCAUCCAGCGCAUCAUUGUGGCGAGAGGAAUCAGAAGGUGACAGACUGCAGACAGGGAGAUGGCCCUUGGUGGGCGUGGCCUAAUCAGAUGAGGAGCAGAGAUCCUCCAACAGGAAGAUUUAAACUCUCUGGAGGACUCAGAAGUCCAGCAAAUGAGCAUCCACCCUGGCUGGAAACCUGGACAUUUUCCCUUCCAACAGAAGCAGCGUCCUCGGGGCCCUGGGGCGGCACCCAGGCUCCACAUGCCAGGUCCAGCAGCAGGAGCUUCCGUGGGCUCAAUGGAAAUGAACGUUGGGUUGGGCAGGGCUGCCUCUGGGCCCCCUAUCUGCUCAGUGACACCCUGGAUGCUGUGUAAAGCACACUGUGCACAUGGCUUGAGGGACUUCCCUUGGGAGGUCAGAGGACUCACCUAAUACAUUAAAGACUCACAGAUGUGCUGCCAAGUGUGUUAGAGCAGAGUGCGGAAGCUCAUGGUCAGGGCAGCAUGGGUCCACAGGGGUGGAGCUCAGCAGGGGACUGCAGGGU